GCCCAAGUGGCGGAAUGGUAGACGCAGGGGAUUCAAAAUCCCCCGAUGGCAACAUCGUGUGAGUUCGAAUCUCACCUUGGGCACCA
This 86-nucleotide transfer RNA is filed under the name Roseovarius bejariae. Its description in RNAcentral is "tRNA-Leu". It matches the Rfam family "tRNA". From Rfam's summary of the family: Transfer RNA (tRNA) molecules are approximately 80 nucleotides in length. Their secondary structure includes four short double-helical elements and three loops (D, anti-codon, and T loops). The record is from RNAcentral. Lineage: Bacteria; Pseudomonadati; Pseudomonadota; Alphaproteobacteria; Rhodobacterales; Roseobacteraceae. RNAcentral also lists the same sequence under 1 other name.